RNAcentral lists this ribosomal RNA (416 nucleotides) under uncultured Methanolinea sp. RNAcentral's name for it is "bacterial SSU rRNA". It matches the Rfam family "Archaeal small subunit ribosomal RNA", at positions 922 to 1338 of the family's 1478-position model. The record is from RNAcentral. Lineage: Archaea; Methanobacteriati; Methanobacteriota; Methanomicrobia; Methanomicrobiales; Methanoregulaceae.
CGUCACCGGAUAAGACAGCUGGAUGAUAGCCGGCUGAAGACUCUGCUUGACUAGCUGAGGAGGAGGUUGCAUUGGCCGUCGUCAGUUCGUACUGUGAAGCAUCCCGUUAAGUCAGGCAACGAGCGAGACCCACGCCAACAGUUGCCAGCAUGUCCUCCGGGAUGGUGGGGACACUGUUGGGACCGCCUCUGCUAAAGAGGAGGAAGGAAUGGGCAACGGUAGGUCAGCAUGCCCCGAAUUAUCCGGGCUACACGCGGGCUACAAUGGUCAGGACAAUGGGCAUCAACACCGAAAGGUGAAGGCAAUCUCUUAAACCUGUCCUUAGUUCGGAUUGUGGGCUGCAACUCGCCCACAUGAAGCUGGAAUCUGUAGUAAUCGCGUCUCAAAAUGGCGCGGUGAAUAUGUCCCUGCUCCUU